This 72-nucleotide transfer RNA is filed under the name Nanobdellota archaeon. RNAcentral describes it as "tRNA-Gly". It matches the Rfam family "tRNA". From Rfam's summary of the family: Transfer RNA (tRNA) molecules are approximately 80 nucleotides in length. Their secondary structure includes four short double-helical elements and three loops (D, anti-codon, and T loops). Lineage: Archaea; Nanobdellati; Nanobdellota. The record is from RNAcentral.
GCGUCGGUCGUCUAGUGGUUAGGAUCUUAGCCUUCCAAGCUAAGCACCAGGGUUCAAAUCCCUGUCGACGCA